UGAGGAAUAUUGGUCAAUGGUCGCUAGACUGAACCAGCCGAGUAGCGUGCGGGAUGAAGGCCCUCCGGGUCGUAAACCGCUUUUAGACGGGGAUAAAAGGGCGUACGUGUACGCCGUAUUGCAUGUACCGUCAGAAAAACGGACCGGCUAAUUCCGUGCCAGCAGCCGCGGUAAUACGGAAGGUCCGGGCGUUAUCCGGAUUUAUUGGGUUUAAAGGGAGCGUAGGCGGACUUUCAAGUCAGUGGUAAAAUCGUGUGGCUCAACCAUACCUCGCCAUUGAAACUGGAAGUCUGGAGUGCACACAGGGGUGCCGGAAUUCAUGGUGUAGCGGUGAAAUGCUUAGAUAUCAUGAAGAACUCCGAUCGCGAAGGCAAGUGCCCGGGGUGCAACUGACGCUGAGGCUCGAAGGUGCGGGUAUCGAACAGGAUUAGAUACC
RNAcentral lists this ribosomal RNA (436 nucleotides) under uncultured bacterium. RNAcentral describes it as "bacterial SSU rRNA". It matches the Rfam family "Bacterial small subunit ribosomal RNA", at positions 355 to 786 of the family's 1533-position model. The record is from RNAcentral.